This 72-nucleotide transfer RNA is filed under the name Gossypium hirsutum (cotton). It matches the Rfam family "tRNA". Rfam says of the family: Transfer RNA (tRNA) molecules are approximately 80 nucleotides in length. Their secondary structure includes four short double-helical elements and three loops (D, anti-codon, and T loops). Further hydrogen bonds mediate the characteristic L-shaped molecular structure. tRNAs have two regions of fundamental functional importance: the anti-codon, which is responsible for specific mRNA codon recognition, and the 3' end, to which the tRNAs corresponding amino acid is attached (by aminoacyl-tRNA synthetases). tRNAs cope with the degeneracy of the genetic code in two manners: having more than one tRNA (with a specific anti-codon) for a particular amino acid; and 'wobble' base-pairing, i.e. permitting non-standard base-pairing at the 3rd anti-codon position. The record is from Rfam by way of RNAcentral. Lineage: Eukaryota; Viridiplantae; Streptophyta; Magnoliopsida; Malvales; Malvaceae.
GGUGACAUGGUCAAGCGGUAAGGCGAGGAACUACAAAUCCUUUAUUCCCCAGUUCAAAUUCGGGUGUCGCCU